RNAcentral lists this ribosomal RNA (443 nucleotides) under uncultured bacterium. RNAcentral describes it as "partial 16S ribosomal RNA". It matches the Rfam family "Bacterial small subunit ribosomal RNA", at positions 338 to 795 of the family's 1533-position model. The record is from RNAcentral.
CCUACGGGUGGCAGCAGUGGGGAAUAUUGGGCAAUGGGCGCAAGCCUGACCCAGCAACGCCGCGUGAAGGAAGAAGGCCCUCGGGUUGUAAACUUCUUUUAUCAGGGACGAAACAAAUGGCGGUACCGCAUGAAUAAGCCACGGCUAACUAGGUACCAGCAGCCGCGGUAAUAAGUAGGUGGCAAGCGUAAUCCGGAUUUACUGGGUGUAAAGGGCGUGGAGGGGGGUGAGCAAGUCAAAGUUGAAAUUCCGGGGCUCAACCCUAGAACUGCGUUUGAAACUGUUCUUCUUGAGUGGUGGAGAGGUAGGCGGAAUUGCGGGUGUAGCGGUGAAAUGCGUAGAUAUACGGAGGAACACCAGUGGCGAAGGCGGCCUGCUGGACAGUAACUGACGCUGAGGCGCGAAAGCGUGGGGAGCAAACAGGAUUAGAUACCCCUGUAGUC